Lactuca sativa (garden lettuce) is the source of this 975-nucleotide long non-coding RNA. RefSeq lists it as uncharacterized. Lineage: Eukaryota; Viridiplantae; Streptophyta; Magnoliopsida; Asterales; Asteraceae. The record is from RefSeq and is a predicted model, not a curated record.
AUAAUAUAUAAAAAAAUCUUUUAUAAUUUUAAUAUUUAUUUGGGAUUUAUUAUGUUAAUUGUGCAUUUAUUAGGGGUGAAUCGGUAUUUUACUCUUUGUUCAAGUGAGUAUUUAGCGCUUGGUGGGGGAAAUCAUUUUUCAUUGUAUCUCGAUAGUGACUUAUUGAAUGGGUCAAGUUUGGCCUCAGAAACUUAUGGUAACUCUUGUUUGUCACACACCCAAGAAUUUGAAGUGAAGGAAAUUGAGGCGCUUUCUCUCACUUAUUUUUGCAAAAAUUACAUUUUUGGUCCUCGAGUAUGGCUGAUUUUGUUCAAUUUGGGUCCUACAAAAUUCUCUUGCAAAUUUGAUCCUUAUUUGAGGUUUUUGUAACGUUUUUACUCUUCGUUCCAAGUAAAAUGAGUUGGGACUAAAAUUGAAAAGAUUAGCAAUACUCAGGGACCAAAAACGGUCAUCUUACUUAGAACAAGGACUGAAACUCUACAAGAAAUUUCGAAGGACCGAAAUUGUAAGAGAAUUUUUGGGGACCAAAAUUGAAAAAAUGGUUCGGGACCAAAAAUAGUCAAAUAAGGACUAAAGUUGCAAGUGAAAACUUUUUGGGACCAAAAUCAGAAAAAUUAGAGAUUCUCAGGGACCAAAAGUGUAAUUUAAUAUAAAUAGUUUGCAUAAGUUGAGUUGAUAUGAAUGUCAAUGUGUGCAACUGUGGGGGUUUGUAUACGCUUCAGAGUAUGAAGAGGCGAUAUCAAUGUUGAGGACAGAAGCACCUGGGAUAUGUCGAUGGUUUAUACUGCCCCUGAUUCUGCCUGGUAUAAAAUGCCUAAGUCUACAAGGUGAGCUUUGUGGUUGGACAUGCUUUUACAUUGGUGUGGCUGCUGUUGCUUUUGGAUGCUCUUAUUAUCACCUCAAACCAAAUGAUGGUCACCUUGUUUGGGAUCGUUUGCCUUUAAGUUAUAUCAUUCCUCAUAUUUAACAAAUUUC